GGGGCAGCUAGAGUGUAUUCCUGAUGAUAUGCGAAGAUGUCUACAGCUACGUCUCGCUGAAGCUGAAUGUGCAUGGAUGUAGAUUGGAGACGGUGAAGCAUAACAUUCCUUGAAGCUUGUUUAUUUUGAUAGUAGUGAAUAGGUUAUCUGUGCAACUGGAACUUUGGGUUGCUUUUGGGGUUGGAAAAUCGUAAGCAGGCUUAGAAUUUUUUGGGAUGAGAAAUGGGUUGGAAAGUGGGAUUUUUUUUUUUUAUUUUUUUUUAUUUUUAUCGAAAGAAUGUUUUGAGUGAUAUGGAACGAUAUCAUAUUGUUAUAAUGAUCUUAACAGUAAUACUAACGUAUGUUGC
This 347-nucleotide long non-coding RNA is filed under the name Olea europaea subsp. europaea. Lineage: Eukaryota; Viridiplantae; Streptophyta; Magnoliopsida; Lamiales; Oleaceae. The record is from RNAcentral.